GAAAAUGGCGUAAAAUAAUACAGAAGGCCUCGUCGAAGCUUUGAAACUCCGGCGAGGUUUCAGCGACGGCGAAGGUACCUCAAGUAAGUAGUCAAAUUCCUUGCUCUCUACUUGUAUUGCUUCUGUUUUGUUUACUUUCCUUCUCCUACUCAUGUAUUCACUUUCUCUGUUGAGUGGGUGUUAGGCUAGCUGAGAGUGAGUAUGAGCUAAACCUUUUUUAGGAUUCAAUAUGAAGCUUAAGAAGAUUAGGAUAGUGAGAUAUUUAGUAAUGGGUUAGGAUUUUUUUAGCAGAGUUUCAUUGUGAGAUUUUGCGUGUUUUGAGUGAAAUGAGGGGAUGGAUUAUAUAGGGUGAGCGAUGAUCAAAGAGAGGGAAAAGAGUGAGUUGUUAGAGGAAUUUGGAGGGAAAAUGGUGAUCCUCAUGCUAAUCUGAGAUGAAAGGUUGAGAUGAUUUGGAUUGGAAUUUGGUUGAGCUUUGUGUUAGUUUGAGGAAUUGUGUUAGUCAUGUGUGUGCAGGAUGAAUGAUGAUGUAUGGAUCAUGGUGAAUUUUGAGUGGUUCACGCGUUUGCUCUUUGAUUCUAAGUUUUGUUUGCUUUUUUUCUCUUGUUUGAAUUUUAAUUCAAAUUCAAAUGGAUAUAUGUGUUGGUGAUGGUAUGGUAUUUUUGUUGAGUGGUGAUGGAUUGUGUAAUGGUGGAAAAUCAUGUGUUUCUCACUACUUUAUUUUAUUAAGUCAAUUUAAAUCUACUUAGUUUGGAUGGUGAAGUAAGUUAUGUCUGUAUAUUGAUACAUAUGGAUGAUGAUACUAUGUAAAACUAUGAAUUGAUAUCAUGUGUUUUGCCUUUAAUUUGUUUUGAGUGUUGCUCAUGAUACUGAUAAUGCAUUAUAUAGAAAACUCACAUGAAUUUUGUUGUUUGAAAGAUGCAGGGUAAUGGUAAGAUGAUGCUUUGGGAUGAUGUUAUAGUCAUGGUGAAAUGGUGCAAAGGUAAAGGGAAUAAGAUGGAAGCAAAUUAAAGAUGGUGAUGAGAUCGGGAUGAUGGUGAUAAAGAGGAGGUCAUGAGGGCCACCAACAUUUUGGAAAUUCAUUCUUUUUGUUUUAUUUUUUGUCUUAUUAUUUUAAAAAUGUGACGUGUGCAUAAUGUUAACAAAAUACUCUUUUAAAUAUUUUUGUAUUAAUAUUUGACAAUGUAAAGUAAAAAAUACUCAUUCAUUUUAUGGAAUACACAUCCUCUUCAUCAUAUUUCAAACACCAAUCACUUGAUACAAAUGACAUGAUAAAAUAAUGUAACUUGCAAAUUUUUACUUUCAAAUGCUUUUAUAAAACUUAA
Molecule: long non-coding RNA, 1322 nt
Filed under: Lathyrus oleraceus (garden pea)
Lineage: Eukaryota; Viridiplantae; Streptophyta; Magnoliopsida; Fabales; Fabaceae
Description: Pisum sativum (pea) long non-coding RNA (PSAT_LNC037300)
Source: RNAcentral